GACGAACGCUGGCGGCGUGCCUAAUACAUGCAAGUAGAACGCUGAAGGAGGAGCUUGCUCUUCUGGAUGAGUUGCGAACGGGUGAGUAACGCGUAGGUAACCUGCCUGGUAGCGGGGGAUAACUAUUGGAAACGAUAGCUAAUACCGCAUAACAGUAGAUGUUGCAUGACAUUUGCUUAAAAGGUGCAAUUGCACCACUACCAGAUGGACCUGCGUUGUAUUAGCUAGUUGGUGGGGUAACGGCUCACCAAGGCGACGAUACAUAGCCGACCUGAGAGGGGGAUCGGCCAGACUGGGACGGGGACACGGCCCAGACUCCGACGGGAGGCAGCAGUAGGGAAUCUUCGGCAAUGGACGGAAGUCUGACCGAGCAACGCCGCGUGAGUGAAGAAGGUUUUCGGAUCGUAAAGCUCUGUUGUAAGAGAAGAACGAGUGUGAGAGUGGAAAGUUCACACUGUGACGGUAUCUUACCAGAAAGGGACGGCUAACUACGUG
This 495-nucleotide ribosomal RNA is filed under the name uncultured bacterium. RNAcentral describes it as "partial 16S ribosomal RNA". It matches the Rfam family "Bacterial small subunit ribosomal RNA", at positions 28 to 507 of the family's 1533-position model. The record is from RNAcentral.